Molecule: ribosomal RNA, 1516 nt
Filed under: metagenome
Description: bacterial SSU rRNA
Rfam family: Bacterial small subunit ribosomal RNA
Source: RNAcentral
AGAUUUUGAUUCUGGCUCAGAACGAACGCUGGCAGCGUGGAUUAGGCAUGCAAGUCGAACGUGAAUCCGGUGAUCAAUCUUUCGGGAGAGUGAACCGGUGGAAAGUGGCGGAAGGGUGAGUAACGCGUGGGCAAUCUGCCUCCGAGUUGGGGAUAACCAUUCGAAAGGAUGGCUAAUACCGAAUACGGUGGUGUUGCUUCGGUGACAUUGACUAAAGGUGGGGCUCCUUCGGGACCUGCCGCUGGGAGAGGAACCCGCGUCCGAUCAGCUUGUUGGUGGGGUAACGGCCUACCAAGGCUACGACCGGUAGCUGGUCUGAGAGGAUGGUCAGCCACACUGGGACUGAGACACUGCCCAGACUCCUACGGGAGGCUGCAGUCGAGGAUCAUUGGCAAUGCGCGAAAGCGUGACCAUGCGACGCUGCGUGGGGGAUGAAGGCCUUCGGGUUGUAAACCCCUGUCAUUGGGGACAAAUCACUCGGCCGUGAAUAUCGGUUGAGUUUGAUGGUACCUGAAGAGGAAGCCACGGCUAACUCUGUGCCAGCAGCCGCGGUAAUACAGAGGUGGCGAGCGUUGUUCGGAUUUACUGGGCGUAAAGGGUGCGUAGGUGCUGCGUGUGUCGGAUGUGAAAUCCCGUUGCUUAACGGCGGAACUGCAUUCGAAACUGCGUGGCUUGAGUGCAGGAGGGGAGAGCGGAAUUCUCGGUGUAGCGGUGAUAUGUGUUGAUAUCGAGAAGAACACCGGUGGCGAAGGCGGCUCUCUGGAAUGUUACUGACACUGAGGCACGAAAGCUGGGGGAGCAAACAGGAUUAGAUACCCUGGUAGUCCCAGCCGUAAACGGUGCGCACUUGGUGUUGGCGGUAUUGAUCCCGCCAGUGCCGGAGCUAACGCGUUAAGUGCGCCGCCUGGGGAGUACGGCCGCAAGGUUAAAACUCAAAGAAAUUGACGGGGGCCCGCACAAGCGGAGGAGCAUGUGGCUUAAUUCGAUGCAACGCGAAGAACCUUACCAGGGCUUGACAUGCAGCUGCACGCCCCGGGAAACCGGGGUUCCUUCGAGGGUGCUGCACAGGUGCUGCAUGGCUGUCGUCAGUUCGUGCCGUGAGGUGUUGGGUUAAGUCCCGCAACGAACGCAACCCCUGUGGUUAGUUGCCACCGUCGGUGAUGAGCCGGCGAGCACUCUAGCCAGACUGCCCGUACAAGCGGGAGGAAGGUGGGGACGACGUCAAGUCAGUAUGGCCCUUACGCCCUGGGCUGCACACGUGCUACAAUGGUCGGUACAAAGGGAAGCAAGACCGUGAGGUGGAGCAAAUCCCCAAAGCCGGCCCCAGUUCGGAUUGGAGUCUGCAACUCGACUCCAUGAAGUCGGAUUCGCUAGUAACGGCGCAUCAGCUACGGCGCCGUGAAUACGUUCCCGGGCCUUGUACACACCGCCCGUCACAUCAUGAAAGCCGUCUGCACCCGAAGUCGCCGGGCCAACCCGCAAGGGAGGCAGGCGCCGAAGGUGUGGGUGGUGAUCG